AACGAACGCUGGCGGCAUGCCUAACACAUGCAAGUCGAACGAGACCUUCGGGUCUAGUGGCGCACGGGUGCGUAACGCGUGGGAACCUGCCCUUAGGUUCGGAAUAACUCCCCGAAAGGGGUGCUAAUACCGGAUAAUGUCUUCGGACCAAAGAUUUAUCGCCUUUGGAUGGGCCCGCGUUGGAUUAGCUAGUUGGUAGGGUAAAAGCCUACCAAGGCGACGAUCCAUAGCUGGUCUGAGAGGAUGAUCAGCCACACUGGGACUGAGACACGGCCCAGACUCCUCGGGGGGGGAGCAUGGGGGAAUAUGGGACAAGGGGCGAAAGCCGGAUCCCGCAAUGCCGGGUGAGUGAUGAAGGCCUUAGGGUUGUAAAGCUCUUUUCCCCGGGAUGAUAAUGACAGUACCGGGAAAAUAAGCCCCGGCUAACCCCGU
Molecule: ribosomal RNA, 432 nt
Filed under: uncultured bacterium
Lineage: Bacteria
Description: partial 16S ribosomal RNA
Rfam family: Bacterial small subunit ribosomal RNA
Source: RNAcentral